Molecule: ribosomal RNA, 397 nt
Filed under: uncultured Saccharofermentans sp.
Lineage: Bacteria; Bacillati; Bacillota; Clostridia; Eubacteriales; Oscillospiraceae
Description: bacterial SSU rRNA
Rfam family: Bacterial small subunit ribosomal RNA
Source: RNAcentral
GGGGGAAUAUUGGGCAAUGGGCGAAAGCCUGACCCAGCGACGCCGCGUGAGGGAAGAAGGUCUUCGGAUUGUAAACCUUUGUAGACAGGGACGAAGAAAUGACGGUACCUGUAAAGUAAGCCACGGCUAACUACGUGCCAGCAGCCGCGGUAAUACGUAGGUGGCAAGCGUUAUCCGGAUUUACUGGGUGUAAAGGGCGUGUAGGCGGAGGAUCAAGUCAGAUGUGAAAUCUAGGGGCUUAACCCCUAAACUGCAUUUGAAACUGACCCCCUUGAGUAUCGGAGAGGCAGGCGGAAUUCCUAGUGUAGCGGUGAAAUGCGUAGAUAUUAGGAGGAACACCAGUGGCGAAGGCGGCCUGCUGGACGACAACUGACGCUGAGGCGCGAAAGCGUGGGGA